CGCGCUACAGCAUUUAUAUAUCGCAACGUUACGGUGGUGUUGAUCCUAAGGAUCUUUGUGUUGUUGUGGUUUGCUUGUUCUUGAUGAUUGAUGUUGCGAAGGAGUUCUUGAUUUUUUCUUGCGCGGAGGAUCGUUGCUUCUUGGCCUUAGAACCUUCGACUUUUUUGGCGCGAAGGAUCCUUCGCUGAAUUGUGCUAUUUUUUUUCCUUUGCUCGACUCCCGUGGAGUGUUGUCGAGGAGAACCUUCGGCUGUCUAAGUCGGAGGUUUUGAAGGGAUGUUACGAGACUUCGUGCGAUACCCUUCAGAGACCUCUGAGUCUGACUUCCAUUGUUUCUGUUGUGGCUGUACACGACUUUGUGGUCGAUGUUCAUCACAACGCCGUAGUUCUAGUAUUACGAAGCUUCGUGCGAUACAAAGUUUUGUUGCUGUUGUGAGGCUAACUCCUGCUUCCAUGGUGGCCUAGGAUUUUUGCUUUUUGACUGCUAGGUUUGCACUCGAUGAUUGGGUCUUUGUAUGCUGAUCCUGAUUGAGGGUGGUGGUAGGGUGAGCCUGGUUUUAUAGGCUUUUAUGCAUUUAUUUUAUGUACUCCGUUAGGUCAAAAUUUAUUAUCGGGUUAUUGAUGGUUGUUGUGGUAGUUGGUUUUGCUG
Molecule: long non-coding RNA, 648 nt
Filed under: Sorghum bicolor (sorghum)
Lineage: Eukaryota; Viridiplantae; Streptophyta; Magnoliopsida; Poales; Poaceae
Description: long non-coding RNA (SBIC_LNC015363)
Source: RNAcentral